GUAUGUAUGUGCCUCUGUAUGUAUAUGUGUCUGUCUGUAUGUAUGUAUAUGUCUCUGUGUGUAUGUAUUUGUGUCUGUAUGUGUGUGUGUCUCUAUGUAUGUGUCUGUGUGUGUUGGGGGGCCCAUGGAUCAGUUUCACACUGGGGCCCCAUGGUUUGUGUGUACGCCACUGUUCCCGCUAUGGGCUGUCCAUGUCUUUUUCCCCCAGUUGUCCCCUCUGUUUUAUGCUUGCGAUCC
Non-coding RNA from Pelobates cultripes (western spadefoot toad), 237 nucleotides. Lineage: Eukaryota; Metazoa; Chordata; Amphibia; Anura; Pelobatidae. The record is from the annotation of a GenBank genome assembly.